UAGUUGGUAAACUAGUCGCACGUUCAGC
Molecule: small RNA, 28 nt
Filed under: Bombyx mori (domestic silkworm)
Lineage: Eukaryota; Metazoa; Arthropoda; Insecta; Lepidoptera; Bombycidae
Description: piRNA piR-bmo-1599265
Source: RNAcentral